Drosophila mojavensis is the source of this 109-nucleotide non-coding RNA. Lineage: Eukaryota; Metazoa; Arthropoda; Insecta; Diptera; Drosophilidae. The record is from Rfam.
GCCAGUUUCAUAGUUCUCUACUUCAAAUAUCGUUCUCCGAAAUUAAGCAGCGUCGGGCGCGGUUAGUACUUAGAUGGGGACCGCUUGGGAACACCGCGUGUUGUUGGCA